UUACGGGAGGCAGCAGUCGAGAAUCAUUCACAAUGGGCGAAAGCCUGAUGGUGUGACGCCGCGUGGAGGAUGAAGGUCUUCGGAUUGUAAACUCCUGUCAUGUGAGAGUAAAGCCGGGCGUUAACUGCGUGCCGGUUUGAGAGUAUCACAAGAGGAAGAGACGGCUAACUCUGUGCCAGCAGCCGCGGUAAUACAGAGGUCUCAAGCGUUGUUCGGAAUCACUGGGCGUAAAGGGUGCGUAGGCUGCACGGUAAGUCAGAGGUGAAAUCCCGGAGCUCAACUUCGGAAUUGCCUCCGAUACUGCCGUGCUUGAGGACUGGAGAGGAGUCUGGAAUUCACAGUGGAGCAGUGAAAUGCGUAGAUAUUGUGAGGAACACUAGUGGCGAAGGCGAGACUCUGGACAGUUCCUGACGCUGAGGCACGAAGGCCAGGGGAGCAAACGGGAUUAGAUACCCCGGU
Molecule: ribosomal RNA, 459 nt
Filed under: uncultured bacterium
Lineage: Bacteria
Description: bacterial SSU rRNA
Rfam family: Bacterial small subunit ribosomal RNA
Source: RNAcentral